ACCCAGCUGAUGAGACGAAACGCGCGUCCUGGAU
This 34-nucleotide non-coding RNA is filed under the name Schistosoma bovis. The record is from RNAcentral. RNAcentral also lists the same sequence under 1 other name. Lineage: Eukaryota; Metazoa; Platyhelminthes; Trematoda; Strigeidida; Schistosomatidae.